GCAACUGCUUAAGUCCAUAGUGAUGGUGCAAUGCCUGUGUCGUUCUCUGAAAAACAAGAGGCAAAUCGGUUUCUGCUUCCAAUUUGGCUCUUAUUGCAUUAUGGGCUGUAGUACUUCUAGUGGUGUAACUAUUGAGGAUCGAUCACCCAAGAAUCCACUCCAUGGCAAAGAAGCUUCAAAGCAGGCUGAAAAGGAUGCAACUCUUGAGACUAUUAAUAUAUCUUCAAGCGGGUCAAUAAAUGAAAUGUUUUUGUGGAAAAACAAUCCGGAACAAUUCACAUCAACUAAAGAAGGAAAAACUGAAGAAAAUUCAGACAAUGGAAUUGGACUUCCCAAGAAACCAGCAAGCUUAGUAGAAAAAGAAAGGAAAGCAUCAUCAGAUAUUCUGGAGGAGCUUCGGAUGCAAGGAAUAAUUAAGUCCUCAAGUACAACUUCAGCAAUUAGAACAGCAGAUGAUACCAUGGUAAGUCAUCUCAAAAACUAGCUGGAACUUAUUCCAAAGACCAACUUGAUAAUUUUUGCUUUUAGGUAUGGGUUUGUCAUAGAAUGGCUCCUUGUACACACAACAGGGAAGUAAAUUAAUCUAAUUCAUUUCUUGUGACUUCAGCUCCAUCCUUUCUUCCCUUGCUGUUCAUAUGUAAGAUUUCAUCCCAGAAUACCUUUGUAAUACUGCACCUGUCUUAUUUUUAAAAUCUCUCUUCAUAAGGCACAUUUCCUAUGAAGAAUGGAUAUGCAAUGGAUAUUGCUUUUGUAAUUGAUUGAUCACAAUUUAUCAUAUUGUCCACCAGUAGUUAAUCUUAAGCACAGUUUGUCAAAAGUCCCCCUCUUACUAUACCAGUUUGAAAUAAUUUCUCUUAAUUACAGAUUUACAGUCUACUAGGUUUAGAUAACAAUUUAAAAACUGAAGUCUAAAACUCCUGACCAUAUGCUUAUGGCUGUAGUAUGAAUGGAAAGUGAAGGAGAAGCAUGUGAGAAGGCUCAGCUUGUAGGAUAGACCUCCCAAAAUGAUGACUUUGUCCAGACUUCCAUCAGGCGGAAAAUGGCUAGAAAUUUCAGGCUAGAAAUUUCAGCAUAGAUAACUGGUACAGAAGUAAACCUCAGCUAAGGGUUCCCCUCCUUUAAACAUAGGGAGGAACAUAGGAUCAACCAGAUUAACCCCAAAACAUGGCCUCUUGUGGGGAGAUGGCCAGCACAAGACUAUCUCUUAAAUUUUUACAAAAACACUUGGACUAACUAAAGAAGCUGUCUUUUCUGCAAGGGUGAAAGUAACCUUACUAAGAACUUCAUCACAUUGAGGUUCUAUCCCGUGGGGCAAUGGGUGGUUUCACCACGCAGCAUAGUGAAUCCGUGGGGCAGUGGGUGAAAGGGUUUCCCCGCGCCCCAUAUCACCCGCUGCAUCCCUAACCCCAUCCCAUGGGGGAAAGUGUCGCCACAUGGUUUUCCCCUGUUGUUGUCUACAGAAGAUGAGAAGCCUCCCUGUUCUGUGGAAAGUAUCCUACUACACCAGUGGUUCUCAACCUGAGGUCCCCAGAUGUUUUUGGCCUUCAACUCCCAGAAAUCCUAAGAGCUGGUAAACUGGCUGGGAUUUCUGGGAAUCGUAGGCCAAAAACAUUUGGGGACCCCAGAUUGAAGACCACUGUACUACACUGUCAGGAUGCUUCCACCACAGAGCCCUACCAGAAGUUGCCUGAUGUCAUGUGAUGACGUCCGGCGGGCUCCGAAGUGGAAGUGUCCUGGCAGCAUGCUAGGACGUUGGAUUUUCCACAUGUGAUAAGGUGGUAAGUUUUCUGAGUGUAUUAAGAAGACUGAGUAUAGAGGAGAGGGGGAAGAGGUGUGAACUUGCGAUAAAUUUAAAACGUCAAGAACUUUAAGAACCUUUCCUUGAAGAUUAAAGGAAAUUUUGAACAAUUUAAUGUUAAUUGAGAGAAAAAUGAAACUUGUCUUACCAUGACAGGUUGAUUUGCAAUGCAAGCAAUUACAUAACAACACUGGCAGACAGAAACAAACGUCUGGGAAAGUGUUUACAGAAUAGAUUUAAGGUUAGGAUAUGCUGUCAGAUAGUGGUGAUAUAAAAUGGUACUUAAAGUUAUUUUUCUGGGCAAUACUGCCAUGCAGUGGACAGUUGUUUAAAUUAUGAGUUGCUGCGAGUUUUCCAGGCUGUAUGACCAUGUCCCAGAAGCAUUCCCUCUUGAUGUUUCACCCCCAUCUAUGGCAGGCAUCCUCAGAGGGUUGUGAGAUCUGUUGGAAACUAGGCAAGUGAGGUUGAUAUAUCUGUGGAAUGUCUAGGAUGGGAGAAAGAACUCUUGUCUGUUUGAGACAAGUGUGAAUGUUGCAAUUGGUCCAGAAGACAGGAGAAUUCCAAACAGGAAACAAUCAGGACCAGCUAAUACCUCCCAACGAAAGAUUCCCCCAGGCAAUAAGUAGCUAGACCUUGAAGCUGCAAGGCUAUUCAAUUCUAAUCAAGGUGGCCAAUUGCAAUGUUCACAUCUGCCUCAGACAAGAGUUCUUUCUCCUACCCUGGACCUUCCACAGAUAUAUAAAUCCCACUUGCUAGUUUCCAACAGACCCUCACAACCUCUGAGGAUGCCUGCCAUACAGCCCGGAAAACUCACAGCAACCCAGUGAUUCCGGCCAUGAAAGCCUUUGACAACACAUUGUUAAAAUUAUUUCUUUGGGAAAUGCUGCCACAUUUCAAAAGUUCAUUUUUUAAAAUGUCAACAAGAAUUACUAGGGCCACAGAGACUAAAGGAGCCACUGAAGUAAGGAUAUUAUCAGUGGAUA
Molecule: long non-coding RNA, 2781 nt
Organism: Anolis carolinensis (green anole)
Lineage: Eukaryota; Metazoa; Chordata; Lepidosauria; Squamata; Anolidae
Source: Ensembl